RNAcentral lists this ribosomal RNA (419 nucleotides) under uncultured archaeon. Its description in RNAcentral is "bacterial SSU rRNA". It matches the Rfam family "Archaeal small subunit ribosomal RNA", at positions 583 to 997 of the family's 1478-position model. The record is from RNAcentral.
ACUGCCAGACUUGGAACCGGGAGAGGUAAGAGGUACUACAGGGGUAGGAGUGAAAGUCUUGUAAUCCCCUGUGGGACCACCUGUGGCGAAGGCGUCUUACCAGAACGGGUUCGACGGUGAGGGACGAAAGCUGGGGGGCACGAACCGGAUUAGAUACCCGGGUAGUCCCAGCCGUAAACGAUGCUCGCUAGGUGUCAGGCAUGGCGCGACCGUGUCUGGUGCCGCAGGGAAGCCGUGAAGCGAGCCACCUGGGAAGUACGGCCGCAAGGCUGAAACUUAAAGGAAUUGGCGGGGGAGCACAACAACGGGUGGAGCCCUGCGGUUUAAUUGGACUCAACGCCGGACAACUCACCGGGGGCGACAGCAAUAUGUAGGCCAAGCUGAAGACUUUGCCUGAAUCGCUGAGGAGUGGUGCAUGG